Pygocentrus nattereri (red-bellied piranha) is the source of this 769-nucleotide long non-coding RNA. RefSeq lists it as uncharacterized. Lineage: Eukaryota; Metazoa; Chordata; Actinopteri; Characiformes; Serrasalmidae. The record is from RefSeq and is a predicted model, not a curated record. The transcript is spliced from 4 exons.
AACUGAGAAGUCUGAUGGAACCAGUACUGUCAUUUCAACAACUUGUCCUUCACAACAAGGUUAUUAUGCAUUCAUUUCAUUAAUCUGAUCAAGCAUAUAAUCAAGUGUACUAACCAAUUCCACACACAGUAACAUAAAUGUUUACCUUCUUUAUUCUUUCUACUACAGAUGUAUCCAGUCCAUCAACCACAGAGUUAAUCAUCUAUGCUACUGUGGGGGGCUUACUGCUGUUAAUGGUACUGAUUGGGGUCAUCUACUGGAGAUACAGAGCUAAAAGACAAGGGCAGAUGGAGGACGGUGAGAGAAAACCAGAAUGGAGAAGAGAUCAGGAGACACAGGAAAUAUCAAGAGAGCAAUGGACCACGCAGCCAACUCCCCAAGCUGAGUGAAGCCAAUGCAGGCGUCGAGACCGUAAACAAAGACGGGGAAGGUGAGGCAGACUAUGGGCUAAGCUAAGGUUUAUCCCGCACCGGACUUUGGUUCCCAGCAUUUUUCUCGCCAAUGUUCAAACAAAAUGGAUGAACUGCGACUCUGAGCUACUACACACAGAUGGAUCAGAGAGUGUGACAUUAUGGUUCUUACGGAGACGUGAUUGAACGGGGAUUUCCCGAGCGGUGCACUGAAGCUGGAGGGAUGCAGUGUGUUCAGUGUGGACAGAGUGGCUGAGGACUCCGAGCACACAGUUGUAUCGUUACCACAGCCUACAUCCCUCCUGAUGCUAAUGCUAAGCUAUCUAUGUACAGCAAUUGACAAACAACAAACUGCACAC